GGCGGCAGCUAGCUCUCUGCAACUCUCACAUGGUUGCCCACUGAAGCUAAGCAGGGCUGCGCCUGGUCAGUACCUGAAUGGGAGACCACAUGGGAAAGCUGGGUUGCUGCCGGAU
RNAcentral lists this ribosomal RNA (115 nucleotides) under Danio rerio (zebrafish). The record is from RNAcentral. Lineage: Eukaryota; Metazoa; Chordata; Actinopteri; Cypriniformes; Danionidae.